This is a non-coding RNA of Pelobates cultripes (western spadefoot toad), 225 nucleotides long. The record is from the annotation of a GenBank genome assembly. NCBI's taxonomy places the organism in Eukaryota, Metazoa, Chordata, Amphibia, Anura, Pelobatidae.
GCAUAGGAGGUGCGGGCAGACAGGAAAAUGAGCCUCCCUGCCGCAUUCAUUAUAGAUUGCAGCGGUGCAAUCUGGGAAAACGUAAGACCAUUGAGAAGAGGAUUGCAGUAGUCAAGGCAAGAAAGAACAACGGAAUGGACCAGCACCUUACCUGUGUCUGGUUUUAAAUAAGGGCGAAUGCGAACUAUGUUUUUGAGAUGGAAGCAGCAGGAUUUGGCAAUCAAC